GACGAACGCUGGCGGCGUGCUUAACACAUGCAAGUCGAACGGAAAGGCCCUGCUUUUGUGGGGUGCUCGAGUGGCGAACGGGUGAGUAACACGCGAGUAACCUGCCCUUGACUUUGGGAUAACUUCAGGAAACUGGGGCUAAUACCGGAUAGGAGCUCCUGCUGCAUGGUGGGGGUUGGAAAGUUUCGGCGGUUGGGGAUGGACUCGCGGCUUAUCAGCUUGUUGGUGGGGUAGUGGCUUACCAAGGCUUUGACGGGUAGCCGGCCUGAGAGGGUGACCGGCCACCUUGGGACUGAGAUACGGCCCAGACUCCUACGGGCGGCAGCAGUGGGGAAUAUUGCACAAUGGGCGGAAGCCUGAUGCAGCAACGCCGCGUGCGGGAUGACGGCCUUCGGGUUGUAAACCGCUUUCGCCUGUGACGAAGCGUGAGUGACGGUAAUGGGUAAAGAAGCACCGGCUAACUACGUG
RNAcentral lists this ribosomal RNA (468 nucleotides) under uncultured bacterium. RNAcentral's name for it is "partial 16S ribosomal RNA". It matches the Rfam family "Bacterial small subunit ribosomal RNA", at positions 28 to 507 of the family's 1533-position model. The record is from RNAcentral.